UACGUAGGGGGCAAGCGUUGUCCGGAAUCAUUGGGCGUAAAGCGCGCGUAGGCGGCCCUGUAAGUCCGUUGUGAAAGUCAAAGGCUCAACCUUUGAAAGCCGAUGGAUACUGCAGGGCUAGAGUCCGGAAGAGGCGAGUGGAAUUCCUGGUGUAGCGGUGGAAUGCGCAGAUAUCAGGAGGAACACCAAUAGCGAAGGCAGCUCGCUGGGACGGUACUGACGCUAAGGCGCGAAAGCGUGGGGAG
RNAcentral lists this ribosomal RNA (245 nucleotides) under uncultured bacterium. RNAcentral describes it as "partial 16S ribosomal RNA". It matches the Rfam family "Bacterial small subunit ribosomal RNA", at positions 524 to 768 of the family's 1533-position model. The record is from RNAcentral.